GUGUUCUAUAUUCUACAAUUAGGUCUCAGUCUUUUAGUGUGCCUAUGCCUCUGGGCUAUAAAUUCAUAUGUGUUUUUAAGUUUUUCCUUCCCUUCUGAAGUGAGACAGGGUGAGUAGGGCAGGUUGGACUUGGGUAUUUCUUUUCUUCAGGUCAGUUCGCCUCUGAUACUACCUUGGCAGGGGCUUCUCACGUGGCCUUAGGAUGGACUGUGCUAGUGAGAGACCCUGAAGUUUAUGUUUUAUCAGCUUCACAGUACAUUGUCAGCUUUGCUGAACUUAGGUUUUAGGUUCUAUAUCCCUGGGAAUCUAAAAAACAACCUACAUUCUCCAGUGUGGUGGCCAGCUAUUUUGUACAAGUAUCGAGAAGACAGGGUAGAUGGAAAGGACUCAGAUGGCUGCAGGAGGACACAUCUGUCCGACGAUUUUGUGAUCAGAAGUGGAGCCAACUUCUCAUCCUUUUACUUCACCCUAUAUAGCUGAUGGAUUUGCCCAGUCCUAUCAAUUCAUUUUUGAUAAAGCUACAACCAUCUGCUUGUUUCUGUCACCAGCUUUCUCCAGAACUUCUCUGCCUCUUCCUGGAUUAGUGUAAGAGUUUCCUAACUGAUUUUCCUGCUUUCCGCCUCCUCUUUCCCCAUCCGAUCUGCAGACUACCUCCUUUUUCCCUAUACAACCUGCAAUCGUUCCAAACUAACGUUCUUAAAAUACUACUCUCUCUCCAUUAUUAAUCUGUUCAUACCACCACAUGGUUCCUCAUUGCCUGCUCUACAGCCUGGCAGUCAAGUGCUCUUGGUUAAGUACACCCAGUGGCUGAUCCGCCUCCAUUCAAGUUUUUAUUAGUGCACACUCUUCACUGUGCCACACUAGUCACACUAUUUUUGAGAUUUGUUUUCCUCUUCAUCCUGUCCUUUGCUUAGCAUGCUCUUUUCUCUAAUCUUCCCCUUUAUUAGCCUAAAUCUCAACUUUUCCAUGGUUAUUCCAGUCCACAUUGGUUUCUAAGUUUUCAGAGUGACUUUCCAAAUUUAUGUCUGAACCCCUAUCUCUGGCACUAAGUUAUGGACUGCCUUGUUUGGUUAUUUAACCACUUUACAUCCAAAUAUUGUCCCCUAAAACAAUUUUAUGUGCUGUUAAAGCAAGGAUCAUUUGUGGUUCUUCUUUUGGAAUCUCUCGUGUUCAGCAGUUUUAUAGAAUGAUCUAAAAAUAAAUGCUUUUAAAAA
Long non-coding RNA from Panthera uncia (snow leopard), 1214 nucleotides. RefSeq lists it as uncharacterized. The transcript is spliced from 3 exons. Lineage: Eukaryota; Metazoa; Chordata; Mammalia; Carnivora; Felidae. The record is from RefSeq and is a predicted model, not a curated record.